CGCCCUUAGAGUUUGAUCAUGGCUCAGGACGAACGCUGGCGGCGUGCCUAAUACAUGCAAGUCGAACGCAGCUUGCUUUGGUAAGAUGAGUGGCGAACGGGUGAGUAACACGUGGGUAACCUGCCUAUCAGAGGGGGAUAACACUUGGAAACAGGUGCUAAUACCGCAUAGAUUUCUUUCGCAUGAAAAGAGAGGAAAGACGUACGUGUCACUGAUAGAUGGACCCGCGGUGCAUUAGCUAGUUGGUGAGGUAACGGCUCACCAAGGCCAUGAUGCAUAGCCGACCUGAGAGGGUGAUCGGCCACACUGGGACUGAGACACGGCCCAGACUCCUACGGGAGGCAGCAGUAGGGAAUCUUCGGCAAUGGACGAAAGUCUGACCGAGCAACGCCGCGUGAGUGAAGAAGGUUUUCGGAUCGUAAAACUCUGUUGUUAGAGAAGAAUAGGUAGGAGUGACUUCCUGCCAUGACGGUUCUAACCAGAAAG
RNAcentral lists this ribosomal RNA (486 nucleotides) under uncultured Vagococcus sp. RNAcentral describes it as "bacterial SSU rRNA". It matches the Rfam family "Bacterial small subunit ribosomal RNA", at positions 1 to 490 of the family's 1533-position model. The record is from RNAcentral. Lineage: Bacteria; Bacillati; Bacillota; Bacilli; Lactobacillales; Enterococcaceae.